UACACAUGCAGUCGAACGAUGAAGCCUUCGGGUGGAUUAGUGGCGAACGGGUGAGUAACACGUGGGCAAUCUGCCCUGCACUCUGGGACAAGCCCUGGAAACGGGGUCUAAUACCGGAUAUGACCUUCCUCCGCAUGGGGGUGGGUGUAAAGCUCCGGCGGUGCAGGAUGAGCCCGCGGCCUAUCAGCUUGUUGGUGGGGUAAUGGCCUACCAAGGCGACGACGGGUAGCCGGCCUGAGAGGGCGACCGGCCACACUGGGACUGAGACACGGCCCAGACUCCUACGGGAGGCAGCAGUGGGGAAUAUUGCACAAUGGGCGAAAGCCUGAUGCAGCGACGCCGCGUGAGGGAUGACGGCCUUCGGGUUGUAAACCUCUUUCAGCAGGGAAGAAGCGCAAGUGACGGUACCUGCAGAAGAAGCACCGGCUAACUACGUGCCAGCAGCCGCGGUAAUACGUAGGGUGCGAGCGUUGUCCGGAAUUAUUGGGCGUAAAGAGCUCGUAGGCGGCUUGUCGCGUCGGAUGUGAAAGCCCGGGGCUUAACCCCGGGUCUGCAUUCGAUACGGGCAGGCUAGAGUGUGGUAGGGGAGAUCGGAAUUCCUGGUGUAGCGGUGAAAUGCGCAGAUAUCAGGAGGAACACCGGUGGCGAAGGCGGAUCUCUGGGCCAUUACUGACGCUGAGGAGCGAAAGCGUGGGGAGCGAACAGGAUUAGAUACCCUGGUAGUCCACGCCGUAAACGGUGGGAACUAGGUGUUGGCGACAUUCCACGUCGUCGGUGCCGCAGCUAACGCAUUAAGUUCCCCGCCUGGGGAGUACGGCCGCAAGGCUAAAACUCAAAGAAAAUUGACGGA
This 850-nucleotide ribosomal RNA is filed under the name Streptomyces sp. NAR9(4). RNAcentral's name for it is "bacterial SSU rRNA". It matches the Rfam family "Bacterial small subunit ribosomal RNA", at positions 50 to 917 of the family's 1533-position model. The record is from RNAcentral. Lineage: Bacteria; Bacillati; Actinomycetota; Actinomycetes; Kitasatosporales; Streptomycetaceae.